GGUCCUAUAUGAGUGGGAAGUGCUUCUGUGUCCAAUGACCUGUUGUCCUGAUUCUGGGGUUGCCGGGGACUUCGACAUCUCCCCUCAUGAAGGAGAGGAAGCUGCUACCUGGUGAACCCCCUCUAAACCUUGGAGUUAAACUCUCGGGUCUGAGAGAUGCUUGAUCUCGUGAGAGAGCCUAAGGACAGGUGAGAACCAGCAUUAAUUCUGUGAGCUACUGGCUGUUUCUUGGGAGCGCUUUGUUUUGACUUGAGGCACUCUGCAUGGCCAGGGACCUCUCUGAAUGACACAGCUUUAGUUCUUUUUUGCUGUUAA
This 315-nucleotide long non-coding RNA is filed under the name Capra hircus (goat). RNAcentral's name for it is "lncRNA (ENSCHIG00010028732.1)". The record is from RNAcentral. Lineage: Eukaryota; Metazoa; Chordata; Mammalia; Artiodactyla; Bovidae.